GAUGAACGCUGGCGGCGUGCCUAAUACAUGCAAGUCGAGCGAACAGAUGAGGAGCUUGCUCCUCUGACGUUAGCGGCGGACGGGUGAGUAACACGUGGAUAACCUACCUAUAAGACUGGGAUAACUUCGGGAAACCGGAGCUAAUACCGGAUAAUAUAUUGAACCGCAUGGUUCAAUAGUGAAAGACGGUUUUGCUGUCACUUAUAGAUGGAUCCGCGCCGCAUUAGCUAGUUGGUAAGGUAACGGCUUACCAAGGCAACGAUGCGUAGCCGACCUGAGAGGGUGAUCGGCCACACUGGAACUGAGGAACGGUCCAAACUCCUACGGGAGGCAGCAGUAGGGAAUCUUCCGGAAUGGGCGAAAGCCUGACGGAGCAACGCCGCGUGAGUGAUGAAGGUCUUCGGAUCGUAAAACUCUGUUAUUAGGGAAGAACAAAUGUGUAAGUAACUAUGCACGUCUUGACGGUACCUAAUCAGAAAGCCACGGCUAACUACGUG
RNAcentral lists this ribosomal RNA (497 nucleotides) under uncultured bacterium. Its description in RNAcentral is "partial 16S ribosomal RNA". It matches the Rfam family "Bacterial small subunit ribosomal RNA", at positions 28 to 507 of the family's 1533-position model. The record is from RNAcentral.